Molecule: ribosomal RNA, 253 nt
Filed under: uncultured bacterium
Lineage: Bacteria
Description: partial 16S ribosomal RNA
Rfam family: Archaeal small subunit ribosomal RNA
Source: RNAcentral
UACCAGCACCCCGAGUGGUCGGGACGAUUAUUGGGCCUAAAGCAUCCGUAGCCGGUCUUGCAAGUCUUCCGUUAAAUCCACCUGCUUAACAGAUGGGCUGCGGAGGAUACUAUAAGGCUAGGAGGCGGGAGAGGCAAGCGGUACUCAGUGGGUAGGGGUAAAAUCCUCUGAUCCAUUGAAGACCACCAGUGGCGAAGGCGGCUUGCCAGAACGCGCUCGACGGUGAGGGAUGAAAGCUGGGGGAGCAAACCGG